UACAGAGGGGGCAAGCGUUAUUCGGAAUUAUUGGGCGUAAAGGGCGCGUAGGCGGCUUGGCAAGUGGAAGGUGAAAUCCCUCGGCUUAACCGAGGAACUGCCCUCCAAACUGCUUUGCUUGAGGCCGGGAGAGGCGAGUGGAAUUCCCAGUGUAGCGGUGAAAUGCGUUGAUAUCAUCAGGAACACCGGUGGCGAAAGCGGCUCACUGGGGCUUUUCUGACGCUGAGGGACGAAAGCUAGGGGAGCGAACGGG
Molecule: ribosomal RNA, 253 nt
Filed under: uncultured bacterium
Lineage: Bacteria
Description: partial 16S ribosomal RNA
Rfam family: Bacterial small subunit ribosomal RNA
Source: RNAcentral